RNAcentral lists this ribosomal RNA (703 nucleotides) under uncultured Arthrobacter sp. RNAcentral describes it as "bacterial SSU rRNA". It matches the Rfam family "Bacterial small subunit ribosomal RNA", at positions 412 to 1125 of the family's 1533-position model. Lineage: Bacteria; Bacillati; Actinomycetota; Actinomycetes; Micrococcales; Micrococcaceae. The record is from RNAcentral.
CGGCCUUCGGGUUGUAAACCUCUUUCAGUAGGGAAGAAGCGAAAGUGACGGUACCUGCAGAAGAAGCGCCGGCUAACUACGUGCCAGCAGCCGCGGUAAUACGUAGGGCGCAAGCGUUAUCCGGAAUUAUUGGGCGUAAAGAGCUCGUAGGCGGUUUGUCGCGUCUGCCGUGAAAGUCCGGGGCUCAACUCCGGAUCUGCGGUGGGUACGGGCAGACUAGAGUGAUGUAGGGGAGACUGGAAUUCCUGGUGUAGCGGUGAAAUGCGCAGAUAUCAGGAGGAACACCGAUGGCGAAGGCAGGUCUCUGGGCAUUAACUGACGCUGAGGAGCGAAAGCAUGGGGAGCGAACAGGAUUAGAUACCCUGGUAGUCCAUGCCGUAAACGUUGGGCACUAGGUGUGGGGGACAUUCCACGUUUUCCGCGCCGUAGCUAACGCAUUAAGUGCCCCGCCUGGGGAGUACGGCCGCAAGGCUAAAACUCAAAGGAAUUGACGGGGGCCCGCACAAGCGGCGGAGCAUGCGGAUUAAUUCGAUGCAACGCGAAGAACCUUACCAAGGCUUGACAUGGACCGGACCGCCGCAGAGAUGUGGUUUCCCCUUUGGGGCCGGUUCACAGGUGGUGCAUGGUUGUCGUCAGCUCGUGUCGUGAGAUGUUGGGUUAAGUCCCGCAACGAGCGCAACCCUCGUUCUAUGUUGCCAGCACG